GUGCACCAUCCUGUUGAAACCAUAUCGUGUCAAAGAAGUUGACACCAUAGCAGAUGCAAUGUUCACAAAGAAAAUCUCUAAUUUGAAGAAAUAUGGGAAAUUCAAAAGCAGUGAGGAAUCAACUGAAGUAAAAUACAGUAAACCAUUCAGAUUCAAGUAUCACCAAUGUAAGAAAAUCAGACAUAAGGCAGCCAACUGCCAUGAAACAGAAAGAGCUGGAAAAGCAAAAGAAGGUGCCUUUCAUAAUGAAUCCACCAAUAAACCUAGUUUUCACAUUGACUAAUGGUGCCUUGAUAGUGAUCCAACAUUGCACAUGACAGCAAAAAGAGAAAAUUUUGAAUCUCUAAAAAAGAUAUUGAAAACAUUAAGUCUGGCAAAUAACCACGUCACAAUCAUAGAAGAUAUUAGUAAUUUUCAAAUUGUUCUAACCAGUGGAAAUAAUUAAGAGUGACUAACACUGUUGAAAGCUCUAUGUGUUCCUGAUCUCUGUACGAAUCUAAUGUC
Molecule: long non-coding RNA, 504 nt
Filed under: Androctonus crassicauda
Lineage: Eukaryota; Metazoa; Arthropoda; Arachnida; Scorpiones; Buthidae
Source: RNAcentral